This 442-nucleotide ribosomal RNA is filed under the name Blastocystis sp. RNAcentral describes it as "partial small subunit ribosomal RNA". It matches the Rfam family "Bacterial small subunit ribosomal RNA", at positions 764 to 1217 of the family's 1533-position model. Lineage: Eukaryota; Bigyra; Opalinata; Blastocystidae. The record is from RNAcentral.
GGUAGCAAACAGGAUUUGGUACCCUGGUAGUCCAUGCUAUAAACAAUGAAUAUUAGAUGUUUAAAUAAAUAGUUAUUAUAAUUUAACAUAAAAAGUUAACACGUUAAAUAUUUCGCCUGGGGAGUAAAACCGCAAGGUUGAAACUCAAAGGAAUUGACGGGAGCUUAUACUUACGGUGGAGCAUGUGGUUUAAUCCGAUAGUCCGCGUGGAAUCUUACCAAUUUUUGACAAUUUAAAGUUUUUAUUUAAAAACAGGUGUUGCAUGGCCGUCGUCAGCUUAUGUUUUGAAAUUUAAGAUAUAAGUACAACCCUUAUUUUAAUUUGCUAAUAUUUAAAAUAUAAAUUUAGUUUAUAAUUAAAUAUGCACUAUUAAAAACAAAAUAGUUUUAAAUUAUUUUAAAGGAUGAAGAUAGGUCGUUAUGACCCUUAUAAACUGGGCUAC